CCAGACUCCUACGGGAGGCAGCAGUGGGGAAUAUUGCACAAUGGGGGAAACCCUGAUGCAGCGACGCCGCGUGAGCGAAGAAGUACCUCGGUAUGUAAAGCUCUAUCAGCAGGGAAGAAAGUGACAGUACCUGACUAAGAAGCCCCGGCUAACUACGUGCCAGCAGCCGCGGUAAUACGUAGGGGGCAAGCGUUAUCCGGAUUCACUGGGCGUAAAGGGAGCGCAGGCGGCGCGGCAAGUCUGAUGUGAAAGCCCGGGGCUCAACCCCGGGUCUGCAUUGGAAACUGUCGAGCUAGAGUGUCGGAGGGGUAAGCGGAAUUCCUAGUGUAGCGGUGAAAUGCGUAGAUAUUAGGAGGAACACCAGUGGCGAAGGCGGCUUACUGGACGAUGACUGACGCUGAGGCUCGAAAGCGUGGGGAGCAAACAGGAUUAGAUACCCGAGUA
This 444-nucleotide ribosomal RNA is filed under the name uncultured bacterium. RNAcentral's name for it is "bacterial SSU rRNA". It matches the Rfam family "Bacterial small subunit ribosomal RNA", at positions 331 to 792 of the family's 1533-position model. The record is from RNAcentral.